This 460-nucleotide ribosomal RNA is filed under the name uncultured bacterium. RNAcentral describes it as "partial 16S ribosomal RNA". It matches the Rfam family "Bacterial small subunit ribosomal RNA", at positions 338 to 795 of the family's 1533-position model. The record is from RNAcentral.
CCUACGGGCGGCUGCAGUGAGGAAUAUUGGUCAAUGGACGAGAGUCUGAACCAGCCAAGUAGCGUGAAGGAUGACUGCCCUAUGGGUUGUAAACUUCUUUUAUAUGGGAAUAAAAUGUUCCACGUGUGGGAUUUUGUAUGUACCAUAUGAAUAAGGAUCGGCUAACUCCGUGCCAGCAGCCGCGGUAAUACGGAGGAUCCGAGCGUUAUCCGGAUUUAUUGGGUUUAAAGGGAGCGUAGGUGGAUUGUUAAGUCAGUUGUGAAAGUUUGCGGCCCAACCGUAAAAUUGCAGUUGAAACUGGCAGUCUUGAGUACAGUAGAGGUGGGCGGAAUUCGUGGUGUAGCGGUGAAAUGCUUAGAUAUCACGAAGAACUCCGAUUGCGAAGGCAGCUCACUGGACUGCAACUGACGCUGAGGAGCGAAAGCGUGGGUAGCAAACAGGAUUAGAUACCCCGGUAGUC